Molecule: ribosomal RNA, 315 nt
Filed under: Cydrela sp. MR712
Lineage: Eukaryota; Metazoa; Arthropoda; Arachnida; Araneae; Zodariidae
Description: partial 12S ribosomal RNA
Source: RNAcentral
AAGUAGUAUUAUCAUAUUAAAUAAACUGAUUUACUUUGGCGGCAUUUCAUCUUAUUAAAGGAACUUGUUUAUUAAUCGAUAAUCCACGUUAAUUUUCACUUUUAUUAUAAAUUUAUAUACCGCCGUCUAAAGAAUAUUUUUUAAUCCUAAUUCAAAAUAAAACCUAAAAAGUUAGGUCAAGGUGUAAUCCAUAUUUAAGAUUAAAUGAGUUACUAUAAAUAAAUUUAUAAAUUAAUCAAUUAAAAUUUUUCAUGAAAUAGAAUUUAAGUGUAUAAUAAUAAUAAUAAUUUCGUUAGAUAAAGAUAAUAAAUGUGC